This 406-nucleotide ribosomal RNA is filed under the name uncultured bacterium. RNAcentral's name for it is "partial 16S ribosomal RNA". It matches the Rfam family "Bacterial small subunit ribosomal RNA", at positions 30 to 526 of the family's 1533-position model. The record is from RNAcentral.
AUUGAACGCUGGCGGCAGGCCUAACACAUGCAAGUCGAACGAGUGGCGGACGGGUGAGUAAUGUAGGGGAAACUGCCUGAUGGAGGGGGCUAACUACUGGAAACGGUAGCUAAUACCGCAUACCAUCGGAUGUGCCCAGAUUGGAUUAGCUAGUAGGUGGGGUAAAGGCUCACCGAGGCGACGAUCCCUAGCUGGUCUGAGAGGAUGACCAGCCCCACUGGAACUGAGACACGGUCCAGACUCCUACGGGAGGCAGCAGUGGGGAAUAUUCGGCAAUGGGCGCAAGCCUGAUGCAGCAAUGCCGCGUGUAUGAAGAAGGCCUUCGGGUUGUAAAGUACUUUCAGCGGGGAGGCGUUACCCGCAGAGAAAGCCCCGGCUAACUCCGUGCCAGCAGCCGCGGUAAUUC